ACUCCAACCCUUUUCAACACAGUAAACAAUAGUCAAUGCAGAAGAGAUGAAUGCAGAUUUACUCGUAAAAGAUUGCAGCAAUAAAGAAAGUAAAGAUUAUUUAACAUGGAAUAAAAGCGAAUUUGAAAUUUUCAAGAGAAUGGUAAUCGAGCAGAAUAUAAAUUGUCGUUUAGACGAUAUGUUUCUCUUGAGCUUCCUUAGAGCCAGAAAAUUCGAUAAA
This 220-nucleotide unclassified non-coding RNA is filed under the name Centruroides sculpturatus (bark scorpion). Its description in RNAcentral is "alpha-tocopherol transfer protein-like, transcript variant X1". The record is from RNAcentral. Lineage: Eukaryota; Metazoa; Arthropoda; Arachnida; Scorpiones; Buthidae.